Molecule: small nucleolar RNA, 143 nt
Filed under: Cricetulus griseus (Chinese hamster)
Lineage: Eukaryota; Metazoa; Chordata; Mammalia; Rodentia; Cricetidae
Description: Small nucleolar RNA SNORA13 (ENSCGRG00015007101.2)
Rfam family: Small nucleolar RNA SNORA13
About the family: ACA13 is a member of the H/ACA class of snoRNA that guide the sites of modification of uridines to pseudouridines.
Source: RNAcentral
AGUUUUGUGUUGCUGGUUCACCUUUGGUCACUGGUGAAUGUGAUGUCAAAAAAAAAAAGGCAUAAAUUAAUGCUUUGUAGCCAAUUUCUUGCCCUGGAGUUCGGUAUCUUGGGUUGUAGGAGCUGCACGCAUAAGUAACAAAA